GUUAUAUGGCUAAGUAAAUAAGCGCGUACGGUGGAUGCCUUGGCAAUAGGAGGCGAUGAAGGACGUGGCAGCCUGCGAUAAGCCUCGGUUAGCUGGCAACAAGCUUUGAUCCGAGGGUUUCCGAAUGGGGUAACCUGGCCCUUCGGGGUCAUCAUUAACUGAAUUCAUAGGUUAAUGAAGUAAACCUAGGGAACUGAAACAUCUAAGUACCUAGAGGAAGAGAAAUCAACCGAGAUUCCGUAAGUAGUGGCGAUCGAACGCGGAACAGCCCUGCACAAUUUAGCAUAAUCCCUAGUAGAACAACCUGGAAAGGUUGGCCAUAGAAGGUGAUAGCCCUGUAUGUGAAAGGUUUUAUGUGAAACUAAGUGUGCGAAGAGUAGGUCGGGACACGUGUUAUCUUGACUGAAGAUGGGGGGACCAUCCUCCAAGGCUAAAUACUACCUAUUGACCGAUAGUGAACCAGUACCGUGAGGGAAAGGCGAAAAGAACCCCUGUUAGGGGAGUGAAAUAGAACCUGAAACCGUAUGCGUACAAGCAGUCAGAGUUUUGUUAGCGUAAGCGAAGCAGAAUGAUGGCGUACCUUUUGUAUAAUGGGUCAGCGACUUACUUGCAGUGGCAAGCUUAACCGUUUAGGGAAGGCGUAGGGAAACCGAGUCUUAAAGGGCGUUAAGUCAUUGUGAGUAGACCCGAAACCAAGCGAUCUAUCCAUGACCAGGGUGAAUGUGCGGUAACACGCACUGGAGGCCCGAACCCACUGAUGUUGAAAAAUCAGGGGAUGAGUUGUGGAUCGGAGUGAAAGGCUAAUCAAGCUUGGAGAUAGCUGGUUCUCCUCGAAAGCUAUUUAGGUAGUGCCUCGUGUUAAACUUCUGGGGGUAGAGCACUGUUUCGGCUAGGGGGUCGUAAAGGCUUACCAAACCGAUGCAAACUCCGAAUACCAGAAAGUUGUUGCACGGGAGACACACGGCGGGUGAUAAGGUCCGUCGUGAAAAGGGAAACAGCCCAGACCGCCAGCUAAGGUCCCAAAAUCACAGUUAAGUGGUAAACGAUGUGGGAAGGCCGAGACAGCCAGGAGGUUGGCUUAGAAGCAGCCAUCCUUUAAAGAAAGCGUAACAGCUCACUGGUCGAGUCGGCCUGCGCGGAAGAUUUAACGGGGCUAAACUGUGUACCGAAGCUGCGGGUUCAAAAUUUUAUUUUGAGCGGUAGAGGAGCGUUCUGUAAGCUGUUGAAGGUAAGUCGAAAGGCUUGCUGGAGGUAUCAGAAGUGCGAAUGCUGACAUGAGUAACGAUUAUCAGGGUGAAAAACCCUGACGCCGAUAGUCUAAGGUUUCCUGCGCCACGCUAAUCGACGCAGGGUGAGUCGGCUCCUAAGGCGAGGCAGAAAUGCGUAGUCGAUGGGAAACAGGUUAAUAUUCCUGUACCUUGUGAUAUUGCGAUGGGAGGACGAAGAAGGCUAGAUCAGCCAUCCGUUGGUCGUGAUGGUUUAAGCAUGUAGGGAGAGUUCCUUGGUAAAUCCGGGUUCUUAAUUCUGAGAUGCGAUGACGAAGUUCUUUUUUAAAGAGCAGAAGUGAUCGAUGCCACGCUUCCAAGAAAAGUCUCUAAGCUUCAGAUAUCAUGAGACCGUACUACAAACCGACACAGGUGGACAGGUAGAGAAUACCAAGGCGCUUGAGAGAACUUGGGUGAAGGAACUAGGCAAAAUAGCACCGUAACUUCGGGAGAAGGUGCGCCCUUGAUGGUAAGAAAAUUUACUUUUCGAGCUGUUGAGGGCCGCAGUAACCAGGUGGCUGCGACUGUUUAAUAAAAACACAGCACUCUGCAAACUCGUAAGAGGAAGUAUAGGGUGUGACGCCUGCCCGGUGCCGGAAGGUUAAUUGAAGGGGUUCGUCUUCGGACAAAGCCCCCGAUCGAAGCCCCGGUAAACGGCGGCCGUAACUAUAACGGUCCUAAGGUAGCGAAAUUCCUUGUCGGGUAAGUUCCGACCUGCACGAAUGGCGUAAUUGCCGUUAAGAUGCGGUAUACCCGUGGCAAGACGGAUAGACCCCGUGAACCUUUACUACAACUUUACACUGGAUUCUGAAUGUGCUUGUGUAGGAUAGGUGGGAGGCUUUGAAGCUUCAUCGCUAGGUGGAGUGGAGCCAUCCUUGAAAUACCACCCUGGUAUGUUUGGAGUUCUAACCUAGGCCCGUAAUCCGGGUCGGGGACAGUGUAUGGUGGGUAGUUUGACUGGGGCGGUCUCCUCCGAAAGAGUAACGGAGGAGUGCAAAGGUGCCCUCAGCACGGUCGGAAAUCGUGCAGUGAGUGCAAAGGCAUAAGGGCGCUUAACUGCGAGAUAGACAUAUCGAGCAGGUACGAAAGUAGGCCUUAGUGAUCCGGUGGUUCUGUAUGGAAGGGCCAUCGCUCAACGAAUAAAAGGUACUCCGGGGAUAACAGGCUGAUACCACCCAAGAGUUCAUAUCGACGGUGGUGUUUGGCACCUCGAUGUCGGCUCAUCACAUCCUGGGGCUGUAGCCGGUCCCAAGGGUAUGGCUGUUCGCCAUUUAAAGUGGUACGCGAGCUGGGUUACCUCUGGUGUUCCGGUUGUCAUGCCAAUGGCAUUGCCGGGUAGCUAUGUGCGGACGGGAUAACCGCUGAAAGCAUCUAAGUGGGAAGCCUUCCUCAAGAUGAGAUUUCCCUCACGCAUUAGCGUGCUGAAGGUCCGUUGAAGACUACAACGUUGAUAGGCUGGAUGUAGAAGUGCAGCAAUGCAUUAAGCUAACCAGUACUAAUUGACCGUGUGAUUUAGCCAUAUAACCUCAAAUGGCUUU
Molecule: ribosomal RNA, 2803 nt
Filed under: Coxiella sp. DG_40
Lineage: Bacteria; Pseudomonadati; Pseudomonadota; Gammaproteobacteria; Legionellales; Coxiellaceae
Description: bacterial LSU rRNA
Rfam family: Bacterial large subunit ribosomal RNA
Source: RNAcentral